CCUACGGGUGGCAGCAGUGAGGAAUAUUGGUCAAUGGGCGCGAGCCUGAACCAGCCAAGUAGCGUGAAGGAUGACUGCCCUACGGGUUGUAAACUUCUUUUAUAAAGGAAUAAAGUGAGGCACGUGUGCCUUUUUGUAUGUACUUUAUGAAUAAGGAUCGGCUAACUCCGUGCCAGCAGCCGCGGUAAUACGGAGGAUCCGAGCGUUGUCCGGAUUUAUUGGGUUUAAAGGGAGCGUAGAUGGGUUGUUAAGUCAGUUGUGAAAGUUUGGGGCUCAACCGUAAAAUUGCAAGUGAUACUGGCAGUCUUGAGUACAGUUGAGGUAGGCGGAAUGCGUGGUGUAGCGGUGAAAUGCGUAGAUAUCACGAAGAACACCGAUAGCGAAGGCAGCUUACUAGACUGCCGCUGACGCUGAGGUGCGAAAGUGUGGGUAGCAAACAGGAUUAGAUACCCGGGUAGUC
This 460-nucleotide ribosomal RNA is filed under the name uncultured bacterium. RNAcentral's name for it is "partial 16S ribosomal RNA". It matches the Rfam family "Bacterial small subunit ribosomal RNA", at positions 338 to 795 of the family's 1533-position model. The record is from RNAcentral.